GAUGAACGCUGGCGGCGUGCCUAAUACAUGCAAGUCGAGCGAACGGACGAGAAGCUUGCUUCUCUGAUGUUAGCGGCGGACGGGUGAGUAACACGUGGAUAACCUACCUAUAAGACUGGGAUAACUUCGGGAAACCGGAGCUAAUACCGGAUAAUAUUUUGAACCGCAUGGUUCAAAAGUGAAAGACGGUCUUGCUGUCACUUAUAGAUGGAUCCGCGCUGCAUUAGCUAGUUGGUAAGGUAACGGCUUACCAAGGCAACGAUGCAUAGCCGACCUGAGAGGGCGAUCGGCCACACUGGAACUGAGACACGGUCCAGACUCCUACGGGAGGCAGCAGUAGGGAAUCUUCCGCAAUGGGCGAAAGCCUGACGGAGCAACGCCGCGUGAGUGAUGAAGGUCUUCGGAUCGUAAAACUCUGUUAUUAGGGAAGAACAUAUGUGUAAGUAACUGUGCACAUCUUGACGGUACCUAAUCAGAAAGCCACGGCUAACUACGUGCCAGCAGCCGCGGUAAUACGUAAGUGGCAAGCGUUAUCCGGAAUUAUUGGGCGUAAAGGCGCGCGUAGGCGGUUUUUUAAGUCUGAUGUGAAAGCCCACGGCUCAACCGUGGAGGGUCAUUGGAAACCGGAAAACUUGAGUGCAGAAGAGGAAAGUGGAAUUCCAUGUGUAGCGGUGAAAUGCGCAGAGAUAUGGAGGAACACCAGUGGCGAAGGCGACUUUCUGGUCUGUAACUGACGCUGAUGUGCGAAAGCGUGGGGAUCAAACAGGAUUAGAUACCCUGGUAGUCCACGCCGUAAACGAUGAGUGCUAAGUGUUAGGGGGUUUCCGCCCCUUAGUGCUGCAGCUAACGCAUUAAGCACUCCGCCUGGGGAGUACGACCGCAAGGUUGAAACUCAAAGGAAUUGACGGGGACCCGCACAAGCGGUGGAGCAUGUGGUUUAAUUCGAAGCAACGCGAAGAACCUUACCAAAUCUUGACAUCCUUUGACUACUCUAGAGAUAGAGCUUUCCCCUUCGGGGGACAAAGUGACAGGUGGUGCAUGGUUGUCGUCAGCUCGUGUCGUGAGAUGUUGGGUUAAGUCCCGCAACGAGCGCAACCCUUAAGCUUAGUUGCCAUCAUUAAGUUGGGCACUCUAAGUUGACUGCCGGUGACAAACCGGAGGAAGGUGGGGAUGACGUCAAAUCAUCAUGCCCCUUAUGAUUUGGGCUACACACGUGCUACAAUGGACAAUACAAAGGGCAGCGAAACCGUGAGGUCAAGCAAAUCCCAUAAAGUUGUUCUCAGUUCGGAUUGUAGUCUGCAACUCGACUACAUGAAGCUGGAAUCGCUAGUAAUCGUAGAUCAGCAUGCUACGGUGAAUACGUUCCCGGGUCU
RNAcentral lists this ribosomal RNA (1373 nucleotides) under uncultured bacterium. Its description in RNAcentral is "bacterial SSU rRNA". It matches the Rfam family "Bacterial small subunit ribosomal RNA", at positions 28 to 1381 of the family's 1533-position model. The record is from RNAcentral.